Molecule: long non-coding RNA, 369 nt
Filed under: Rattus norvegicus (Norway rat)
Lineage: Eukaryota; Metazoa; Chordata; Mammalia; Rodentia; Muridae
Description: long non-coding RNA NONRATT023326
Source: RNAcentral
ACGGAAUUGACAAAAACCGUCUGUUGAAGAAAGAUGCUUCAGGUAGCCCGGCAUCCACAGCCUCCUCUGGAAGUUCCUCAUCCCUGAAAUCCAAAGAAGUGAACCUGCAUGAAAAAGCCAACACGCCUGUUCUGAAAUCCAGCACACCAACGCCUCGGAGUGACAUGCCAACCCCGGGCACCAGCGCUACUCCAGGCCUCCGUCCAGGUCUCGGCAAGCCUCCAGCCAUGGAGCCCCUUGUCAACCAAGCAGCAGCUGGCCUGAGGACGCCCCUGGCAGUGCCUGGCCCAUACCCUGCCCCCUUUGGCAUGGUGCCCCAUGCAGGCAUGAACGGAGAGCUGACCAGCCCUGGCGCUGCCUAUGCAGGUC